Lolium rigidum is the source of this 941-nucleotide long non-coding RNA. RefSeq lists it as uncharacterized. The transcript is spliced from 3 exons. Lineage: Eukaryota; Viridiplantae; Streptophyta; Magnoliopsida; Poales; Poaceae. The record is from RefSeq and is a predicted model, not a curated record.
GAUUCCUCUCGUCGUCCCAUUCUCCGCCACCGCUGGGAUUCCUUCGAGUCUGCGUCCUCCGCCGACUCCAGCUUGUGCGAGGAGGCACACGAGCUUUGCCACGUGCGUAGACAGCUGUUGGUGCUUGCCGCCAUGUUCUGCUCGUGGUUUGUAGUAGGAGGAGGGCCUGGAGCUCCUCGUCUCCAUUGAUAUCUGACCUCGUUUGUGACGUCUAAUACUGCCGAUGCUUGGUGCUUGGUGGAAACCAUCCGAUCUGGAGAAUCAACAGAACUAAUGUUGCUGAUGCUUGGUGCUUGGUGCUAUAACCUUCUUUAUUUUUCCCUUCUGAUUUGCUUCUAUGAAUGCGUGAUGACCUUUCAUUCUUCAUGGUGCAAGAGGUUAAAUUCGUGACUCUGAACAAAUUCUUGAUUCUGUCAUUGUUUCAGUUUGUUUUCAGGUUUUCCUAAAUCAUGUAUUUUUGGUGGAUGUUAGAGGAGUUCGCACAGAAUUGUUCCAAGUUUCUUUCCCGGUUGCAAAUCCUGCUGAAAAUAACUACAGCAUGCCACGGAUUUCUUUGGUAGUAACAUAGAUUAAAUUUGCUUUUGAGCCGUUGGGAUAGAAGUGAGCUGGAGCUGGAAUGCAAGCUAAAUGGACAUGUUUACAGGACCCCAAUGUCAAUGCGAGGGUGAUUCAGAGUUUACGCAGGUGAGCAGCCACCAUUUAUGCCAAGAGGCGCCAGGUGAUUCAGAGUUUACGCAGGUGAGUUGCCUGGUGAUUCAGAGUCUACGACAGUGAGCUGCCUGGUGAUUCAGAGUCUACGCCGGUGAGCUGAUGCAUCCGGCCGGUGCAUCUGGUAAUUGCAAUGCGUUUUGCUACCUUGACUUGGUUUGCCGUGUCAGCUAUCUACUUGAUUAUUUGCCUAUUUGUGUUACAAACAACAUAGUGUUGUAUUAUGAGCCAUU